Molecule: ribosomal RNA, 468 nt
Filed under: uncultured bacterium
Lineage: Bacteria
Description: partial 16S ribosomal RNA
Rfam family: Bacterial small subunit ribosomal RNA
Source: RNAcentral
GACGAACGCUGGCGGCGUGCUUAACACAUGCAAGUCGAACGGAAAGGCCCUGCUUUUGUGGGGUGCUCGAGUGGCGAACGGGUGAGUAACACGUGAGUAACUUGCCCUUGACUUUGGGAUAACUUCAGGAAACUGGGGCUAAUACCGGAUAGGAGCUCCUGCUGCAUGGUGGGGGUUGGAAAGUUUCGGCGGUUGGGGAUGGACUCGCGGCUUAUCAGCUUGUUGGUGGGGUAGUGGCUUACCAAGGCUUUGACGGGUAGCCGGCCUGAGAGGGUGACCGGCCACAUUGGGACUGCGAUACGGCCCAGACUCCUACGGGAGGCAGCAGUGGGGAAUAUUGCACAAUGGGCGGAAGCCUGAUGCAGCAACGCCGCGUGCGGGAUGACGGCCUUCGGGUUGUAAACCGCUUUCGCCUGUGACGAAGCGUGAGUGACGGUAAUGGGUAAAGAAGCACCGGCUAACUACGUG